CGCCCAAUGAUAUCAACACCUCGCUGAUUCCUGCCCACCCGAAGGUCUCGAGGCGAGUGGGGUCGUCGAGGAAAGGCCGACAACGGUGGGAACCAUGAUACUGAUUAUGAGAGAUGAGGGCU
This 122-nucleotide small RNA is filed under the name Caenorhabditis japonica. RNAcentral describes it as "snoRNA CJA48459". It matches the Rfam family "Caenorhabditis sRNA ceN56". Lineage: Eukaryota; Metazoa; Nematoda; Chromadorea; Rhabditida; Rhabditidae. The record is from Rfam by way of RNAcentral.